RNAcentral lists this ribosomal RNA (25 nucleotides) under Scirtothrips dorsalis. Its description in RNAcentral is "partial 28S ribosomal RNA". Lineage: Eukaryota; Metazoa; Arthropoda; Insecta; Thysanoptera; Thripidae. The record is from RNAcentral.
UCAUUAAGGAAACAAAUAACAACGC